CUACAGAGUAAAACUUCAGACAAACACCUGGUAGAAAGGGUAAUACUGUAGAUUUCUAGAAUCUAGCCCAAUAGUUUUAUUGAAAUACAUACGCAAACCAGAACUUUCCAUGGAAGAAUUAACUUUGAAGCCAGGAGAGGCAUAGGUAAUGACUGCAUAGGUAGAAGUGGGCACUAACAGGAAUUAAGAACUGAAUUUCCUAAGGACAGAAAGGAAGGAGUGCAAGGACACUGAUACUGAUCAGUUUCAGGAAACAACCUGAAACAUGAAGUAUGAAGGAAAUUGACACAGAAAGCAAAGCAGAGCAUCGAAACGCCUGCCAGCAUCUUCCUGCAUUGGGGCUUCACAAUAGUAUGAGUUCAGCCACUGGAGGGCAACAUGAGCUCAGUCACCUGAAGCACUACAGCCUGGAGAACUCAGCAGCACGCACCCAGCAAGAACAACCAAAGUCAGAAAAGGAAUUUCUGCAUAAAGGAUGUUUUCUUGAGUUCUAAAUCGCUGGAUUAGCCAAAGUGUUUCUAAAGGACAUCGUGCAAGGCCCGCUCAGCCUGGUAUAACAAGAGGUGAAAUAUUUCACACUGCUAAGUAACUGAAAACCUGACACGUGUUUCUACUCUUGAAAUAACUCUGGCAGACUUUUCUGGAUUAGUUGUUGCAGCAUAUGAGUUCUUUGCUGUGUUUUAGAAGACUAUCAGCAGUGUAGGUCUAAUUUUCUUUAAAAUAAAUAUAAAUAGUUUGGCUAAAAAUACAGAAGAGAAAUAGUUUGGUUUCACAGUCUUCCUCGCCUCUCUUGUGCUGUAAAUUUUUGUUUGUUGCCAUUAUCAAUGCAGUGGUGUUUUUGGAAAGCACUUUCCUGCAGGGACAUUGUUCUGGACAAAAUAGCUAAGAUAACUCACUGUGUGACAGAUUUGCUCUGUGGAUGCAGCAGUAUAAGCUUUUAGUACCCUCCCUGUUCCCCAGAAGCCCCCCCACCAGCAACAUGCAUGUAU
Molecule: long non-coding RNA, 989 nt
Filed under: Cairina moschata (Muscovy duck)
Lineage: Eukaryota; Metazoa; Chordata; Aves; Anseriformes; Anatidae
Description: domestica (muscovy Duck (domestic type)) lncRNA (ENSCMMG00000002378.1)
Source: RNAcentral